Molecule: ribosomal RNA, 251 nt
Filed under: uncultured bacterium
Lineage: Bacteria
Description: partial 16S ribosomal RNA
Rfam family: Bacterial small subunit ribosomal RNA
Source: RNAcentral
GACGAACGCUGGCGGCGUGCCUAAUACAUGCAAGUCGAACGCUUUACUUUUCACCGGAGCUUGCUCCACCGAAAAGUAAAGAGUGGCGGACGGGUGAGUAACACGUGGGCAACCUGCCCAACAGAGGGGGAUAACACUUGGAAACAGGUGCUAAUACCGCAUAAUUUGUUUUCCCGCAUGGGAGAAUAAUAAAAGACGCCUUACGGUGUCACUGUUGGAUGGGCCCGCGCUGCAUUAGUUAGUUGGUGGGG